Molecule: ribosomal RNA, 486 nt
Filed under: uncultured bacterium
Lineage: Bacteria
Description: partial 16S ribosomal RNA
Rfam family: Bacterial small subunit ribosomal RNA
Source: RNAcentral
AUUGAACGCUGGCGGCAUGCCUUACACAUGCAAGUCGAACGGCAGCACGGGUGCUUGCACCUGGUGGCGAGUGGCGAACGGGUGAGUAAUACAUCGGAACAUGUCCUGUAGUGGGGGAUAGCCCGGCGAAAGCCGGAUUAAUACCGCAUACGAUCUACGGAGGAAAGCGGGGGACCUUCGGGCCUCGCGCUAUAGGGUUGGCCGAUGGCUGAUUAGCUAGUUGGUGGGGUAAAGGCCUACCAAGGCGACGAUCAGUAGCUGGUCUGAGAGGACGACCAGCCACACUGGGACUGAGACACGGCCCAGACUCCUACGGGAGGCAGCAGUGGGGAAUUUUGGACAAUGGGCGAAAGCCUGAUCCAGCAAUGCCGCGUGUGUGAAGAAGGCCUACGGGUUGUAAAGCACUUUUGUCCGGAAAGAAAUCCUUGGCCCUAAUACGGUCGGGGGAUGACGGUACCGGAAGAAUAAGCACCGGCUAACUACGUG